AUAUCAAAGACAAUGUUUUAGAAAAAAGGUACAACUUUCGAUCCGUGGGCUUGAUGGGCAUUCAUGGGCAUGCAUCAGUGGAGGUCGACCCCAUCCUAUCAUAGAAGACCUAAACAAACAAUACUUUUUGCUCGUUUCUCAGGAAAUGAGAGAAUAUGACAUUUAGUCGAAAAAGUGGAAUCUAGUGGAGAAUUGUGGCGUAAGUUGACUUUAGUUUUGUCAAAGACUCACUUCCAUUUCUUAUGGGAAAUGUAUGCAAAAGAACAAUGAUUCAAGACUAUAGGUUGCCUCAUUAAAACGUAAUUAAGCGAAUAAAGUGAUGAAUUAUAAAUAAAAUGAAUGCACGCAAUUA
Molecule: long non-coding RNA, 352 nt
Organism: Eupeodes corollae
Lineage: Eukaryota; Metazoa; Arthropoda; Insecta; Diptera; Syrphidae
Exons: 2
Source: RefSeq, a predicted model, not a curated record